GCCCCAGCCGGGUGGAUGAUGUGGUUUAAUUCGAUGCAACGCGAAAAACCUUACCCACCUUUGACAUGUAUGGAAUCCUGAAGAGAUUUGGGAGUGCUCGAAAGAGAGCCAUAACACAGGUGCUGCAUGGCUGUCGUCAGCUCGUGUCGUGAGAUGUUGGGUUAAGUCCCGCAACGAGCGCAACCCUUGCCAUUAGUUGCUACGAAAGGGCACUCUAAUGGGACUGCCGGUGACAAACCGGAGGAAGGUGGGGAUGACGUCAAGUCCUCAUGGCCCUUAUAGGUGGGGCUACACACGUCAUACAAUGGCUGGUACAGAGGGUUGCCAACCCGCGAGGGGGAGCCAAUCCCAUAAAGCCAGUCGUAGUCCGGAUCGCAGUCUGCAACUCGACUGCGUGAAGUCGGAAUCGCUAGUAAUCGCGGAUCAAAAUGUCGCGGUGAAUACGUUCCCGGGUCUUGUACACACCGCCCGUAUUUA
RNAcentral lists this ribosomal RNA (477 nucleotides) under bacterium PRO-SP5. RNAcentral's name for it is "bacterial SSU rRNA". It matches the Rfam family "Bacterial small subunit ribosomal RNA", at positions 923 to 1402 of the family's 1533-position model. The record is from RNAcentral.